Molecule: ribosomal RNA, 468 nt
Filed under: uncultured bacterium
Lineage: Bacteria
Description: partial 16S ribosomal RNA
Rfam family: Bacterial small subunit ribosomal RNA
Source: RNAcentral
GACGAACGCUGGCGGCGUGCUUAACACAUGCAAAUCGAACGGAAAGGCCCUGCUUUUGUGGGGUGCUCGAGUGGCGAACGGGUGAGUAACACGUGAGUAACCUGCCCUUGACUUUGGGAUAACUUCAGGAAACUGGGGCUAAUACCGGAUAGGAGCUCCUGCUGCAUGGUGGGGGUUGGAAAGUUUCGGCGGUUGGGGAUGGACUCGCGGCUUAUCAGCUUGUUGGUGGGGUAGUGGCUUACCAAGGCUUUGACGGGUAGCCGGCCUGAGAGGGUGACCGGCCACAUUGGGACUGAGAUACGGCCCAGACUCCUACGGGAGGCAGCAGUGGGGAAUAUUGCACCAUGGGCGGAAGCCUGAUGCAGCAACGCCGCGUGCGGGAUGACGGCCUUCGGGUUGUAAACCGCUUUCGCCUGUGACGAAGCGUGAGUGACGGUAAUGGGUAAAGAAGCACCGGCUAACUACGUG